CGCGUAGGCGGCCGUUUAAGUCAGGUGUGAAAGCCCGGGGCUUAGCCCCGGAAGUGCAUUUGAUACUGAGCGGCUUGAGUAUGGGAGAGGGAAGUGGAAUUCCUGGUGUAGAGGUGAAAUUCGUAGAUAUCAGGAGGAACACCGGUGGCGAAGGCGACUUCCUGGACCAAUACUGACGCUGAGGCGCGAAGGCGUGGGGAUCAAACA
Molecule: ribosomal RNA, 207 nt
Filed under: uncultured Desulfobacteraceae bacterium
Lineage: Bacteria; Pseudomonadati; Thermodesulfobacteriota; Desulfobacteria; Desulfobacterales; Desulfobacteraceae
Description: partial 16S ribosomal RNA
Rfam family: Bacterial small subunit ribosomal RNA
Source: RNAcentral